RNAcentral lists this long non-coding RNA (1731 nucleotides) under Olea europaea subsp. europaea. Lineage: Eukaryota; Viridiplantae; Streptophyta; Magnoliopsida; Lamiales; Oleaceae. The record is from RNAcentral.
AUUUGAUAUUGCUUACUACAAGUUCAGAUAUCUUUUAUCGUCUGAAAGACUGCAGGUAGAUUUUAUGUAAUACGUAAACACUUCAGAAAAGUCGUGAUCGUAUGGAUGUCCAAAUUUUUAAUAAUUUUCCAUCUUGUUUAGGUCUAAUUAUUGUUUCUAUGGGUUCAUUAGUCACAAGAUGGCCUAUUGGAUUGGUUAUUAGUUUAUUCCACUCAUUGCUAAAUAGGAAAAAUGUUGGUGUGUCUUGUAGGAUUCGUAUUGAAGAUGUACUUCUAAAAUCAAAUGUACUAAGUGAAGUUAAGAGGUCCAUGAUAGAUGGUGGCAUGCAUGUCAAGGAUUUGCCUUGUGUCCCUGCUUCUUGUUCGGGAACCUUGUUUUCUCAUCCAGGUCAACAAAGACACGCAACAGAUUCCCCAGAUAGAAUUGGGGAGACAUUUUUGGGGAUUGGUGGUCCUGCUGGAAUUUGGCAUUUCAGAUAUCGCAGCAUUUAUCUUGACCAAUAAGUAUCAUCUGAAUUUUCGUCACCAAUAAACAGCCCGAGACAGAAAAAGAGGUAACAGAAUCAAUGUCACUCAUUGUCCUUCCACAAGGAAAGUGCUUUGCUGGAUAAUUUCUAACAGAUUGCAAAAAUGGUGUCUUGUUUUGCAGAUUAUUUAGGGCUUACCAAAAACUCUGAGUCCAUGCAUGAUAAUGGAAUUGGGCCUCAUAAAGCCCAGUUUAGAAGGGAUGAAAACUAUGGUAAUAUUCGCAUUCUUUUGGAUGCUUGCUAUACUUCGGGUGGUUUUUGUUGGAAAAAAAGAGGGAGCGGCUCACUUUUGGCACAAUUUUCGGUGGGACUCGUUGGUCCAAUUUGGAAUAUCAUAGUUGAUAUGUGUUCUCCGCAAGAACAUCGAAGUCAUGUAUGUAUUUGCUAAAAAUGAAGCUCGGGUAAAUAAGAAAUUGGAGUUUAAAGUGGAUCAUUGGAAAUGGUCUAUGUUGGUGGGAAAACUAUAGUUAACUUUGUCCCACAUAGAAAAAACAUGGAAACCAAAAUCACUUUAUAUAUGGCUAUGCAUUAGAAUGGUGGGAUCAUGUGUAGCAUAGAGGCUCUCUCCACGUGCGCGCGCAGGGGGUGCAAAUCACAGACAGAAAUAGCCUUCGGACCUUGAACUUGGGUGCGGGCGCGACCUAUGCCCACGAAUGUCGGACCGAACAGAGCAAAAACUAGCCAGUUUGGAUUGUCCGCAUUUUACAAUUUUUUUGUGAUUUUUCCAAAUGACUUUUGAGUGUCUGAAACUCCUAAAACUCCAAUGGUCGAAACCGAAGUGUAACUCCGAAAACUGCAAUGGUUAAUGCAGAAACUAAUGGUCAGAUUCAGUCCAGUUCAAACAUUAAAAUUUCGUCUGCAAUUUCAAGCAGUUUAAACUCAGAUUCAGUUCUGUUUUCUAUUUUGUUCCGUCUCCUCCUGUGUCCAUUGCAAUAAGGUGAUAUUGUUCGAACUCGCCAGUUCGCCAGAGUAGAACCACGGUGCUCGAAUUCUUCUGAUUACUGUUGUAUCCUGGGAGACAGGCGCUCGAACUAAACCUCUAGCACUACGGUGAGGGGACAAAUUUGUUUUAAGAAAACUGUGUUUACACAGACUUCAGGGUUAAAAGUUUAUUACCAAAUAUAUAUGUGCUUCCAGUUUGAGUAUAUGUGCUUUAAUAAUUUGCAGAUUUACACGCUUUCAGAUUUAAUUUAGCUUUCUGAAAU